Molecule: long non-coding RNA, 693 nt
Organism: Cotesia glomerata
Lineage: Eukaryota; Metazoa; Arthropoda; Insecta; Hymenoptera; Braconidae
Exons: 2
Source: RefSeq, a predicted model, not a curated record
AAUAAAAUAAUUCAAUAGAUUUGAGUUUUUUUUGUAUACAUUAUUAGAUUAAUUCAAUAAUUUUAUUAUUUAUCACUUAACAUAGACAACUUGUACUUUAUUCUGUCGCCAGGUUUCGCUGAUUCACCGACUAAGAUGAAAAAUGGCUGACUUGAAGUGAUUUAAAUUUGAACUCUACAUUAGUCAAAAACUCAAACUUUUAAUUAAAAAUAAAUUGAGAUAAUUUAUCAGAGUUUAUUGAAUGUAAACGUGAGUGGUAAUGACUGGAUGUUGAAAUCGUGUUAUUCGUAUUCACUCUAAAAAUAUCAAGUCUAGUGCAAAAAAUUACAUUUACAGAACUGAUACCGGAGUAAAUGGUGAACUUGUCAUGCUCAAGACGAAUAGAUUUAUGAUGGUUAUUCGAAGAGUUUGAGCUGUCAGAGUAACGUCUUAAAUGUUAUGAUUUGCUAAAAUUAAACAUCAAUGACUCGUGGCGUGGAUACCCUCCGAUGCUUGACCUCCAGAGUAACAAGAAUCCUCACCAAAAUCGAAUAAUGUGGCGGAUCAAUUCGAAUAUAAACCAUUCACCAGUGAGCGAUGCACGAGAUUUCCAGAAGACUAGUUCAAGUUGAUCAAUUUGUAUAGUCUAAUGUUUUAUUUUUUCCUUUAAAAAGCAUGAAAAAUUGAUUAAAAUAAAACAGAAAUUUCACAUUA